GUUGUAUAGUUAAGUGACUAAGCGUACACGGUGGAUGCCUGGGCAGUCAGAGGCGAUGAAGGACGUACUAACUUGCGAUAAGCGUAGAUGAGGCAGUAAGAGCCACUUGAGUCUACGAUUUCCGAAUGGGGAAACCCAACUGCAUAAGCAGUUAUCUCAAUGUGAAUUCAUAGCAUUGUGAGGCGAACCGGGGGAACUGAAACAUCUAAGUACCCCGAGGAAGAGAAAUCAACCGAGAUUCCGGCAGUAGCGGCGAGCGAAACCGGAUUAGCCCUUAAGCUAAU
This 284-nucleotide ribosomal RNA is filed under the name Photobacterium damselae. Its description in RNAcentral is "partial 23S ribosomal RNA". It matches the Rfam family "Bacterial large subunit ribosomal RNA", at positions 1 to 280 of the family's 2925-position model. The record is from RNAcentral. Lineage: Bacteria; Pseudomonadati; Pseudomonadota; Gammaproteobacteria; Vibrionales; Vibrionaceae.